This 564-nucleotide ribosomal RNA is filed under the name uncultured bacterium. RNAcentral describes it as "partial 16S ribosomal RNA". It matches the Rfam family "Bacterial small subunit ribosomal RNA", at positions 355 to 907 of the family's 1533-position model. The record is from RNAcentral.
UAGGGAAUCUUCGGCAAUGGACGGAAGUCUGACCGAGCAACGCCGCGUGAGUGAAGAAGGUUUUCGGAUCGUAAAGCUCUGUUGUGAGAGAAGAACGAGUGUGAGAGUGGAAAGUUCACACUGUGACGGUAUCUUACCAGAAAGGGACGGCUAACUACGUGCCAGCAGCCGCGGUAAUGCGUAGGUCCCGAGCGUUGUCCGGAUUUAUUGGGCGUAAAGCGAGCGCAGGCGGUUUAGAUAAGUCUGAAGUUAAAGGCUGUGGCUUAACCAUAGUACGCUUUGGAAACUGUUUAACUUGAGUGCAAGAGGGGAGAGUGGAAUUCCAUGUGUAGCGGUGAAAAUGCGUAGAUAUAUGGAGGAACACCGGUGGCGAAAAGCGGCUCUCUGGCUUGUAACUGACGCUGAGGCUCGAAAGCGUGGGGAGCAAACAGGAUUAGAUACCCUGGUAGUCCACGCCGUAAACGAUGAGUGCUAGGUGUUAGACCCUUUCCGGGGUUUAGUGCCGCAGCUAACGCAUUAAGCACUCCGCCUGGGGAGUACGACCGCAAGGUUGAAACUCAAAGG